Molecule: ribosomal RNA, 635 nt
Filed under: uncultured Actinomycetes bacterium
Lineage: Bacteria; Bacillati; Actinomycetota; Actinomycetes
Description: bacterial SSU rRNA
Rfam family: Bacterial small subunit ribosomal RNA
Source: RNAcentral
CGCCUGGGGAGUACGGGUGAGGUAACGGCUCACCAAGGCAUCGACGGGUAGCUGGUCUGAGAGGAUGAUCAGCCACACUGGGACUGGGACACGGCCCAGACUCCUACGGGAGGCAGCAGUAGGGAAUAUUGCACAAUGGGCGAAAGCCUGAUGCAGCAACGCCGCGUGCGGGAAGAAGGCCCUAGGGUUGUAAACCGCUUUCAGCAGGGAAGAAAAUGACGGUACCUGCAGAAGAAGGUGCGGCCAACUACGUGCCAGCAGCCGCGGUGACACGUAGGCACCAAGCGUUGUCCGGAUUUAUUGGGCGUAAAGAGCUCGUAGGCGGUUCAGUUAGUCGGGUGUGAAAACUCUGGGCUCAACCCAGAGACGCCACUCGAUACUGCUGUGACUAGAGUGCGGUAGGGGAGCGGGGAAUUCCUAGUGUAGCGGUGAAAUGCGCAGAUAUUAGGAGGAACACCAGUGGCGAAGGCGCCGCUCUGGGCCGUAACUGACGCUGAGGAGCGAAAGCGUGGGUAGCAAACAGGAUUAGAUACCCUGGUAGUCCACGCCGUAAACGUUGGGCACUAGGUGUGGGUCUCAACCAACGAGAUCCGCGCCGUCGCUAACGCAUUAAGUGCCCCGCCUGGGGAGUACGG